Molecule: non-coding RNA, 6052 nt
Organism: Equus caballus (horse)
Lineage: Eukaryota; Metazoa; Chordata; Mammalia; Perissodactyla; Equidae
Source: RefSeq, a predicted model, not a curated record
UGGGAGGUACUGGGUUGGAGACACAGAGACGCAUUUAGAUUGGGAGAUAUAGAUGCAGUUGGUGUUAAACACCGUGAGACUAGACAGACGCAACUAGGGAGUGAGCGCAGAUAGAGGAGAAAAAGAAAGGAAUGAGGCCAGCUUUGGAACAUGCCAGUAUUCAGAGGUCAGGAGAUGCAUGCACACAGCUCAGGAGACCACACAAGAGACAGGAGAGCCAGGGGCUGCUGUGCGUGGAGACGAAGAGGAGAGGAGAUUCAAGCAAAGAGCUGUCAGCCCCGUCAAACCGAGUGUCAGGUCAAGUCCGAUAACAGCCGAGAACCGGACAACAGACUUAGCAAAAUGGAAGUCAGGAAAGACCUUGACAAGGAGAGUCUGGUGAAGAGGGGGAGAUAAGCCCUGGAUGGAAAGAAAGAAGAGAGAAAAAGGGAAACAAACAUAAACAGCAUAAAACAAAACAUCGGAAGUGUUUUCCAGCCUUCCCCGACACGCGGUGAAGAAGGCGAGCCUCACUUGCUGACCAGCUCUCUGAAUAGCAAGCAACUUUCCCACCCUCUGAAGGGCACAGGUGUACCAUUGGAUAAGAGAAAAAGCAAGCCUGAAUCAGAGCGUUGGCUGAUGUCACUGAAAUUCCUUGGAUGCAGAACGUAAGCAGCCCACAAAGAGAGACAUUUUAUUGUCAGCUUGAAUUAAAAGCACAGAAUUUUGAAUGGUUACUAGGAAGACCACAGCAAGUCUUGAAACUCUCCUAUGGACUGACUGCAUGGAGUCCUUUUUGAUGCUGAAAGCAAACUCUUGGUAAGCGUAGGCAGGGUCUCUGCAUUCCACUGUUGACCUGCCAUUGUUAAAUGGAGCCAGGGCGCAACCGCGCUUCAGGCCAUUCGUCAUCUGCUUCUAAGACACGCUGUCACAGAUCUGAGCUCCGCACUUGUCCUUUUGGAGAGGAAAACCAGAACCUAGCGGAAAAUACUGUCCUUCCCGAAACAUCGUGUCCUGGCACUCAGCUCGAGCUGAAUCCAAAUGACGUGCAUCUGCCAAGAAGUCCCCCCUUUUCUGAAGUGACACGAGCUAAUGUCACUUGGAUGUGAAAGUGGACAGCAUAAAGGGCAGGGCUUCUCUGGACUUUCCAAAGACUUGCUUGACCCCCCUGAAAGGAGAUCAGAGCAAAGGGUAAAUCGAGAGCGGAAGAGAGAAAGCACAUCAACGCACACAACUGGGUUUACGUCUGGAGAUUUUCCAAUAGUUCAGACGCGCAUAUUAACUUGGGGAAGAUAAAUGAGCUACUGUUGUUCUGUUUGGAUGGAAGCGUGAUCCAUGGCAACAGACUCGCGCGUCUCCCAAGAGUGCGGUCAGGGGGCAGCCGGCCUGGACGGCGGCUCCUGUGUCCAUGAACACCCAGGAGGAGAGGCAGGCUCCAGCAGAGGAGGAGGUUUGGCUAAACUGACAGCUGUAUCAAAUGUUGAGAACUGAGCAGGAAGUUAAAAAUGGGGCUCAGAAAUAUUUGGAAUACUUUUACGGCUGGCCUUUCCAGCACACCCCAGUUUCUCCUUUGUCCACCUUCCCUCCCACACAUGUCUGCCCUCAUCUCCCGGAGCGGGCUGGCAGCAGGUGGGCAGUGAGUCCGGGAGGACACGAGCCACAGUGGCCCGGAGUGCCCCCUCCACAGGCUGGCUGAGUGGGAGCUGGCUGCUGCCGGCGUGCUCACAGCGGCCGUGCAGAGCGUUCUCGGGGACGGCCGUGUGUGGGACCACUCAACCAGGGCUGCAUUUCUUGAUUUCCCUUGUAGGUGAUUUUUUCUUUGUUUUGCUUCUUGAGAAAGAUCCAGAGUGUGCAGCUCAUCUCGACUGGAGCUUUCACUCGGCACAGCAGGGGAGGCUGUGGGCUUCCCUCCAGCACCGACAGAACGCUGGGUGCGAAGCCGCUCGGAUGAGGGAUGGUACAACAUCUCCAGCUGUACUGAUGUUCGAGAAUUCUCCCAGGAAUUCUUUUCGCGAUACAUGUCCAGGCACUGGUCUCCAGGGCUUUGUGGGGCCAUUUGUUCCCUGGUCUUCUGGAAGUCUGAGGGUUGUGCAAUUGGCCCAUGCUCCUGUUGGCUUGUUCUUCCAUCAGUGGCUUCACCCCGUGAGUCAUUCCCAAGACCAUGGAAGAGGAGGGGUGUCACUCUAGGCUCUGAGAUGGCCAUCCUCGCCUCUCUUUCUCUGUCUGGGACAGAGGUCGAUUCCUGUACCCAAGUCCCCCGAGGAUCCCUCGCUCCGUGGUCCUGCACCCCCAGGCUGCCUGCAGGGACCCCGCAGGGCUGGUGGAGGGAGAAGGGACGUUCUCCUCGCUGCCACGUCCUGUUUCUCUGAGCGCCCUGAGCAGCAAGUCUUCCCCCAGCGGGGCUCUCACUUGUCCCCCUACUUCCUGAACGACAGAAACCCCAGUUUUGUUGGCGUCGUGCCCAACCUGGAACAGUAUUUUCCAGCUUGCUUGCAGAUAAGAGUGGCCAUGUCUAAGUCUGACCAAGGAGAUGUAAGAGGAGGUUUCCAGACUGUCUCCUGGCAGGUAGCCUUUGCCCUCUGGCCUUUGUCCUCCCCUCCUUCCUGGAGAGAACAAGGACCACGGCAGUGGCUCGGCCACCUUGUGCUAUGCUAUCACCUGGACAACUACCCCUGGACAACCUCGAGUUAGGUAAGAGAAAAACAAAAUCCAUAACUUGAGCUGUUGCAUUCCAGUCUCUGUUACUAGGAUCUGCAUGGAGCCCCUAAGACACGAGCCAUGGUCCCCCCAGCCUCCCCCCUCAGUCUUCGAGGACCGGCACUCCCCCAUCCAUCCUGUUCUGGAGUGGCUGAACGACUACUUGCUUCGACCACCUGGGCAGCCUGUGAUGUUCUGGGACCUCCGUGCCCAUUCGAGUGAAGUUGUAGGACCCCCUGGGGCCUCUUCUGCACCUUGUGAGUGAGCUGUGGAGCUGCCCGGGGACGGUGCUCAGGCCCCCAGGGUCUCCUGUCUGCACCCCGGCAGCUCAGGCAGGGCAGCGGGACUCAGCUGCAAGUCUGCAGGUAGGCGAGCUGUCUGCUCCCCUCCUGGUAGGCCCUCCUGUCCCUACCAGUGACUUCUUGGAGCAUCCCGUUUCAGGGCACAGGGCUUAGAACCGAGGUUCAAGAGUGUGUGCUGCCUGGACACUUGGUAGAGUCGGGAGAGCCUGCAACAGUGCACCUGCAAGUCCCCCUCGGCACUCUGCUCCACCCGAAGGUCCCCCCAAACAGCCUCUUGUCAGAUGGUCCGGAGGCAGCUCCUGCUCAUCCCUGAGCUGCGGGUUUAGUUUCCUGCCCACCCGCAGAACCGUUCACACGGCCAGUCACACUCUCCCACUGGAACCAGGGCACCCCACCCUCCUUACCGCAACGGCCACUGCCCACAGCCCUGCUGGCUCACGCUGUUCCCGAGGGCACCCCCGUGUGGUCCUGUGCCGUGUGCCGUGUCCUCCUCCCCCAGGCCGAGAGCACACGUGAGUAAUACACUGCUGUCCAUCUGUCCAGCAGGAUCAUCCCCCUAACUCUAGGGUGGCAAUCCCUCCCUCAGCAACGAGUGGAGAAGAGGUGAUUGAAACAGAAUCCCCCCCUCCGCCACGGGCAGGGAAGCCUCUCCCCCCAGCCACUCCCAGUGCAAAGAGGUCGGGGUCAAGGGAACGGGGCAGCCCUGCCCGCUCUCCCAAUGCAGAGGGCUCACUGACAGUUCACCUCAGAGGGUGGUGCCCGCGGCACCUUCCGCUUUUAGUAGUGACAGUAGAAGCCACUCAACAAACAUCUUCCUGAGUGAGGAAAAGCCCGAAGGAGACACCGCUGUGCAGGGCAGGACUGAGACAUGACGGGAGAGCCCCCACAUGUAAGCUGCCCAUCCCCCCUCUUCUUUUGCAGAAAUCUCAAGCACAUCCAACCUCCUGUUGGGAGAGAAAAAAAGAAUGAGGGAAAGUAAGGAGGGGAGAAGUCUGUCGAAGUUUGCCCUCCGCCUCCCAUCCAUCGGCCGCGUCAGACAGCUGACAACCUGGCUGCUCCCAAGCUUCAGAGCCAUCUCUCUGCUGUGAAAGGCUGGUCGCAGACCUGGUCUGGAGUUUUCACCCUUCAAGCCAUUAUCUGCUGUGUCAGCAGAGCCGUCGGUUGCAUUCAUAUUCACCACUUUGUUCCCAAGUCUAAUCUGGAAGAUACAAAACACAGAAGUGCCAGGAAUCCGCAAUUAGGCUCGCUGUGCAGCCAUCCUCCCGUGACACAGCUGUUGAUGGAAGCGAAGACCAUCCACGCGGAAACACCAUUGUCCAUUGUCAGUGCCCGUCAGUGCCUCUUUGCGUACUUGUCCCUCUGUGACCACACAGCUGGCCUCUUCCCACCCCUCUAAUGCCCACAGUGAAUCCAGAUCCAAACAAGCAACUUCCUCAGAACAACAGUGAGCCAACCCAACAUGAUGAGCAGGUAACCGGUACCCACGGAGCAUCUCGUCAGGAGGAGGAAAGAGGGCUCGUCUUGUGCACCACACAGCAAAGGCCGUGCUCUCCCCCACCCUCCCUGCCCUCUCUCGGCUCCUCACCGCACUCCUCUUCACCCUCGCAGAUUCUAGGAUCGCCUCUACCGUCCAGAGCUGUUUAGUCCCACGAUGACACAGGCAUGUGCUUAACUUGCCGUCUAAGAUCACGGGCAGCCCGGCCAUCUACCUGGUCCCUGGAGAUGCUCCUGUCUCCCAGGCAGCUCUCUGAUGUAUCCACAUGACGAUAGGAAGAGGGACAGGAAGGUGGGGGGGUGUACCGUGAGCAGCCGUCAGACCUGAUCUGCUCCACGACACAUGCAUGGGCACUGCCCCCCGCCUUCAGUCCCCGUAUUGUCCUGCAGGCCCCACUUGCUGCAUCUUUCCCACACACAAGAAAAUAGGCCAAAAAGGGUUUUGGAUAGUUAUCUUAUUUUAUUCCCUUUUUGUUUGUGUCUCUCUGCUGCCCUUGCCCCUCAGCUGUCCCCUAUCUCAAUCUGACGCACACAGUUUCCGUCUGUCCUCAUUUCUUCUCUUCCUUCGGAAAACAUCCAAGAUAAGGUCCCCUGUGACUUGUCUGGCAAUUUUGUCCUCGGCCAACCCAGCUUCAGCCCACGGGCUGCAGAGUCUUUUCUCCCCGGCAAACGAGAGCUCCUAAGAUCUCACCGCAGCACCUGGGAGGUGCUGCGUCACUACACGUUGGGACAAAGCAGAUGCCGAAAUAAAGGGAGUCCCGGGCUCCGUGCAGCAGGGUCAUCCACAGACCUGCCGCCUCCAGCUGCUAGCCCACAGGACAGGUCACAAGGAGGACGGGCCGCGCCGUCAUCGCCGGUCCCGAGCCACGAGAGGGGAGACGGGCAGGAGACGCUUCAUCGCCCCCGAGCCCUGCCCAGGGUGGGCCACGGAUGGAGGCCUCCCUCCAGGAGCUGAAGUUCCUUUAAAAACGACAAGCAUUGCUGCCCCUCUCUGAGCCCCGGAGCCUGCCAAGCGCAGAGGGUUAUCUCAGACGUGGGCUGGGGCACCGAGAGCGCUGUUCCACCCGGAAUCGGUUCUCAACACCCUCAAGCCACCAAGACACAAGCAGACGGCAUGUACUCUCACCAGGAGGACGCCGUCCCCACGAGCUGCUCCUGACAAACGUCUGAGCCUGGAGGACUAAGCUGCUAAUUCUCAGGAAACAUCGGACAGAGGGACGGGAUAAGUGAGGUCUGGAGGCAAAGUCUAGAAGAAGCGGGACUCAGACAGAGAAAACCUCGAGAGGACGGGCGAACUGUGACUAGACUGACAACACGCAGAGAGCGAGCGAGAGUGACCUUCCGAUGCGCCGGAGAAGAACCCCGUCUAGAUUUUGACUCAACAAACUGGGAAAGUGCCACUCACGAGACAACUGGGGAAAUCUGAACACUGACUACAUAUAGGUGGUUUUAAGGAAUUUUAAUGAAGUGUUUUAGGUGGGAUAAUGGCACUUUGGUUGUGUUUUUUUAAAGUCUUUACAUUUUAAAUAUAUACAUAUUUCUAUAUAUACACUUACACACCACACACGCUCCCAGACACG